GACGAACGCUGGCGGCGUGCUUAACACAUGCAAGUCGAACGGAAAGGCCCUGCUUUUGUGGGGUGCUCGAGUGGCGAACGGGUGAGUAACACGUGAGUAACCUGCCCUUGACUGUGGGAUAACUUCAGGAAACUGGGGCUAAUACCGGAUAGGAGCUCCUGCUGCACGGUGGGGGUUGGAAAGUUUCGGCUGUUGGGGAUGGACUCGCGGCUUAUCAGCUUGUUGGUGGGGUAGUGGCUUACCAAGGCUUUGACGGGUAGCCGGCCUGAGAGGGUGACCGGCCACAUGGGGAAUGAGAUACGGCCCAGACUCGUACGGGAGGCAGCAGUGGGGAAGAUUGCACAAUGCGCGGAAGUCUGAUGCAGGAACGCCGCGUGCGGGAUGACGGCCUUCGGGUUGUAAACCGCUUUCGCCUGUGACGAAGCGUGAGUGACGGUAAUGGGUAAAGAAGCACCGGCUAACUACGUG
This 468-nucleotide ribosomal RNA is filed under the name uncultured bacterium. Its description in RNAcentral is "partial 16S ribosomal RNA". It matches the Rfam family "Bacterial small subunit ribosomal RNA", at positions 28 to 507 of the family's 1533-position model. The record is from RNAcentral.